UCCGGUGACCAUAGCGACGAAGAGACACCCGUUCCCAUCCCGAACACGGCAGUUAAGCUCUCCAGCGCCGAAGAUACUGAGGGGGUAGCUCCUCGGGAACAUAGGCCGUCGCCAGGA
RNAcentral lists this ribosomal RNA (117 nucleotides) under Chloroflexota bacterium. The record is from RNAcentral. Lineage: Bacteria; Bacillati; Chloroflexota.